RNAcentral lists this ribosomal RNA (323 nucleotides) under uncultured bacterium. RNAcentral's name for it is "bacterial SSU rRNA". It matches the Rfam family "Bacterial small subunit ribosomal RNA", at positions 28 to 334 of the family's 1533-position model. The record is from RNAcentral.
GAUGAACGCUGGCGGCGUGCUUAACACAUGCAAGUCGAACGGGAAACAUUUUAAUGAAGUUUCGGCAGAUUUAGUUUGUUUCUAGUGGCGGACGGGUGAGUAACGCGUGGGUAAUCUGCCUCACACUGGGGGAUAACAGUCAGAAAUGACUGCUAAUACCGCAUAAUGCAACGAAAUCGCAUGACUUUGUUGCCAAAGAUUUAUCGCUCUGAGAUGGCCUCGCGUCUGAUUAGCUAGUUGGUGAGGUAACGGCUCACCAAGGCGACGAUCAGUAGCCGGUCUGAGAGGAUGAACGGCCACAUUGGGACUGAGACACGGCCCAG